Oncorhynchus gorbuscha (pink salmon) is the source of this 1489-nucleotide long non-coding RNA. RefSeq lists it as uncharacterized. The record is from RefSeq and is a predicted model, not a curated record. NCBI's taxonomy places the organism in Eukaryota, Metazoa, Chordata, Actinopteri, Salmoniformes, Salmonidae. The transcript is spliced from 3 exons.
AUCGCCAGUAGGUCCGACAUCACCCUAAGAACCAAAGGAGACAUCUCAAGAGUUACACUGCAGAGUAUAUUGUAUGGUCUUGUUGUGUGUAUUGAUGCUUAGAUAAAGGGGUAUGCACUACAGUAAGUGCACAUGUGAGAAUCUACAGGUGAAGGUUCAGGUAGGUAGAGUAGACGUCAACUGACAAAGGCAUGCUCACCUCUUUUCCCAUUUGUCCAUGAGAGCCUUGCAACCCUUUGAGCCCCUGUAGACCUCGAUCUCCAGGCUGCCCUGGAGGACCAAACUUCCCACAAGGCCCUAGGUCCCCCUAGAAUACAUGUGAAGUAGAAGAAGUAUUGAGAGGUGAAAAAUAUAUUGAAACCAUGUGUUUGUAGAGGCAUCAUGGUGUCAGUAUCCCUGACCUGUUCCCCUUUCGUUCCUGGUGGCCCCUCUAACCCUGAUUGGCCAGGAGUACCCUGGAAACAGGAAACGGAAGAGAACUAUCAGAAAAUGCACCCGCCUGAAACAUUAGACUUCCUAUUGGAAGUGUGUUCAACCAACCUGUUCCCCAUCCAGUCCCGAAGGACCAAGAUCACCAGGAGGUCCCAGCACACCCUGUCAUGUUCCAAAAACAGUGUGGUUUAACACACAGCACAUCAAACAUUGCUAGAUCAUAUUUAGGCUUGCAGAAUUCUGGCAACUUUUCAAAUCAGUAGGAAUAAGCAGGAAAUCCUCCAACUAGGAUAUCUUGAAAACCGGAACUUUUUGGGGAAAGUUACCGGAGUUUUGCAUUCCUAGACAUAUUAUUGUCGUCGUCUCAUUAUCUUUGCUGUACUUACCAUUUCUCCUCUUUCCCCUGCUGGUCCUAUGAGUCCACCAGCACCUGAAAUUCCCUGGGAAUUGGACCACAUAGAGUUUAAAACGAUGGACAACACAGCACACUGAAACAUGGCUAAAGAGCUGCGCUUGGUAUCCCAAACCAUGCCAAAUAAGCAUCCGAUAGGCAUCAAUGUCCCAUACGAGAUUAUACAGAGGUUCUAGAGGUUUACGGUCCUCAGAGGUUGUUUAGAGGAGAAGAGAGCAGCGGCUGGAAAGUACCCACUCACUGGGGUUCCAGCUGGUCCGCCAGGACAUUGUGUUCCCGGAGGCCCUCUGCUUCCCCUGGGCCCCGGCUUCCCUGUCCCUCCAUCUGAACCCUGCAGACCCGGGGGUCCCUGGAACACACAGGCCCUCUGACCCUGUGGGUCCCAGAUCCCCCAGCCGACCCUUACGAGAAAACCAUGAGAGAUCAUUAAGGAGGAAAAGUAUGGACUACAAAAUACAGCCAAUGACCAUCGCAUUGCGGAUUGAUUUUUCAAAGGAGAUAUUUGGGAAAUGUAGUUCUGGUAUUGGACACUUCUUUGGACACUGUGUUAACUAACCUCCAGACAAGCUUCAAUGCUAUACAACUCUCCUUCCGUGGCCUCCAACUGCUCUUAAAUGCAAGUAAAACUAAAUGCAUGCUCUUCAA